GCCACAUGAUGAACUACAGAAUGUCACAUGACUGUCACCUGAUGAGAGGAAAGAUGGCAUGUCAUUCAUUCAUGGAUGUGUCACCUUAACAAUGCCCCUUUUUCUAAGAACCAAGUUCAGGAGGAAGCAGAAUAAAUUGAGAUUGAGAUGAUGGGAAACUACAAUGAGUUGAUGAUUGACGUCUGUAGUUUCCACCUGCGACUCAGCCCUCCUGGCCGGACCGUAUAUAAGAGAUCACACAGGUUGAGGACUCCACAUCACCGAGACUUCUACUACCACAGGUUCAUACUGACCUACAGAGCCUCUGCUGUGACCAUCAUCCACACAUCAGACCACCGUCCAGACAGACGGAGACAUCUGAGACGCCGGCAGAAGCAG
Molecule: long non-coding RNA, 378 nt
Organism: Oncorhynchus masou masou (cherry salmon)
Lineage: Eukaryota; Metazoa; Chordata; Actinopteri; Salmoniformes; Salmonidae
Exons: 3
Source: RefSeq, a predicted model, not a curated record